RNAcentral lists this ribosomal RNA (207 nucleotides) under uncultured bacterium. RNAcentral's name for it is "partial 16S ribosomal RNA". It matches the Rfam family "Bacterial small subunit ribosomal RNA", at positions 568 to 774 of the family's 1533-position model. The record is from RNAcentral.
UGCGUAGGCGGCCAUUUAAGUCAGGGGUGAAAUAUGUCGGCUCAACCGGCAAACGGCCUCUGAAACUGAAUGGCUUGAGUCCGGGAGAGGAAGGUGGAAUUCCUGGUGUAGCGGUGAAAUGCGUAAAUAUCAGGAGGAACACCGGUGGCGAAGGCGGCCUUCUGGCCCGGUACUGACGCUGAGGCACGAAAGCCAGGGGAGCGAACG